AGUGGGUGUAGCGUACCUACUAGCCUACGACGGGUACGGGUUGUGAGAGCAAGAGCCCGGAGAUGGAUUCUGAGACACGAAUCCAGGCCCUACGGGGUGCAGCAGGCGCGAAAACUUUACAAUGCUGGCAACAGCGAUAAGGGAACCUCGAGUGCCAGGUUACAAAUCUGGCUGUCGAGAUGCCUAAAAAGCAUUUCAUAGCGAGGGCCGGGCAAGACCGGUGCCAGCCGCCGCGGUAACACCGGCGGCUCGAGUGGUAACCGUUAUUAUUGGGUCUAAAGGGUCUGUAGCCGGCCGGAUAAGUCUCUUGAGAAAUCUGGCAGCUUAACUGUCAGGCUUUCAGGAGAUACUGUCUGGCUCGAGGCCGGGAGAGGUGAGAGGUACUUCAGGGGUAGGGGUGAAAUCUUGUAAUCCUUGAAGGACCACCAGUGGCGAAGGCGUCUCACCAGAACGGACCUGACGGCAAGGGACGAAAGCUAGGGGCACGAACCGGAUUAGAU
Molecule: ribosomal RNA, 500 nt
Filed under: uncultured microorganism
Description: bacterial SSU rRNA
Rfam family: Archaeal small subunit ribosomal RNA
Source: RNAcentral